This 441-nucleotide ribosomal RNA is filed under the name Triticum aestivum (bread wheat). Its description in RNAcentral is "partial small subunit ribosomal RNA". The record is from RNAcentral. Lineage: Eukaryota; Viridiplantae; Streptophyta; Magnoliopsida; Poales; Poaceae.
AUGAAAAUCUUAAGCUGGAAUUGCCGAGGUUUGGGGACGCCCUCGGCAAUUCGGUCGCUGUCGGAAUUACUACUGCAGCAUAGUCCUGAUGUUCUUUUCCUCACAGAGACUCACUUGAAUGAUUCGAGCGGGGAAAGAUUGCGUGUGAAGCUUGGUUUUGAUAGUAAGUUUGUUUCACCGAGCGAUGGAAGGAGUGGAGGUUUGAUCAUGAUGUGCAAGAACAAUGUUAAUAUGCAGCUGAAUUAUUAUCACGACAACUUUAUUGAUGUUGUGGUCAAAGGAGCGGAUCCUAGUACAGACUGGAGGUUAACGGGUAUGUAUGGUGAGCUGGUUUGGAGACAUAAGCAUCGUACAUGGAAACGUUUCUGUGAUCUACAUGCCAAGGGUAAUCUGCCUUGGGUUGUGAUAGGGGAUCUAAAUGAGAUUUUGUAUUCAUCAUAG